This 291-nucleotide ribosomal RNA is filed under the name uncultured Spirochaeta sp. RNAcentral describes it as "partial 16S ribosomal RNA". It matches the Rfam family "Bacterial small subunit ribosomal RNA", at positions 1089 to 1382 of the family's 1533-position model. The record is from RNAcentral. Lineage: Bacteria; Pseudomonadati; Spirochaetota; Spirochaetia; Spirochaetales; Spirochaetaceae.
GCAACGAGCGCAACCCUAUCAUCUGUUGCCAGCAUUUAAGGUGGGGACUCAGAUGAGACUGCCGGUGACAAACCGGAGGAAGUGGGGACGACGUCAAGUCAUCAUGGCCCUUAUGUCCUGGGCUACACACGUGCUACAAUGGCCGGUACAGAGUGAAGCGAAACCGCGAGGUGAAGCAAAACGCAGAAAGCCGGUCUCAGUACGGAUUGGAGUCUGAAACUCGACUUCAUGAAGUUGGAAUCGCUAGUAAUCGCGCAUCAGCAUGGCGCGGUGAAUACGUUCCCGGGCCUU